AGGGGGAGGGUGGCCGAACCUCCCGGGGCGUGCAAGGGUCGUGUUUUAUGGGCAAAAACACGUGGAUUUGAGUGGGAUCCAAGAGGUUGGCGCACGCCCCUAGGUAAGACGUAGCGGUUGGCUCAGUCGGAUGACGUUUCCCUGUAACCAUCACCGUAAACCGGUCCUUUAGUAUCCGUACGGGGAUCUGGGUCUGAGGUGUAUUGCAUGAGGUGUAGCACCAUGAAAUUGACGAUUUGAGCUCCGCCGCGCAAGAACGUGUUAAUCCGGUGUCGUCCACGAUACUUGGGAGCCGUUGCCCUGGUCAUGUAAACGUUCCCAGUCGGUAUGAUUCCCCAAAAAGGUGAUUGCCGCGUUACGUUUUUCGUGUUCCAUAUGGGCUGCUUCUCCUCAGUCGCUCUGGGUGGUCAUCCGUGGUAGGCACAUUCCAUCGCCUCUAGUCCCUUCAGAGAAAUGUUGCCCCAAGACGGUAUCGUUAUUGGUGUAACACCCGCGCGUCGUGGACACUCAGGACGCCUUCGUGCAGGCCAUUCCCCCGUGCUAUGCGUGGGGGGAGGCUUGGUUGGCUUGACCGAUGUGGAUACGCGAGCGGAUGAGUAGCUUUGGACCCGUGUCUGUUGUUAGAUCCCCCGUCCUCGUGCGGCCGACUAGCGACGCCGUGUCCCGUCAUUCGUGUGGCUUAUGUUACUGUUGCCUUUCAAGUGCUUG
This 708-nucleotide unclassified non-coding RNA is filed under the name Avena sativa (oats). RNAcentral describes it as "partial external transcribed spacer". The record is from RNAcentral. Lineage: Eukaryota; Viridiplantae; Streptophyta; Magnoliopsida; Poales; Poaceae.